This 804-nucleotide ribosomal RNA is filed under the name uncultured soil archaeon. RNAcentral's name for it is "bacterial SSU rRNA". It matches the Rfam family "Archaeal small subunit ribosomal RNA", at positions 77 to 865 of the family's 1478-position model. The record is from RNAcentral.
UUCGGCGCACAGCUCAGUAGCACGUGGCUAACCUGCCCUUGGGACGGAAGAACCCCCGGGAAACUGGGGCUAAUUUCCGAUAGGUGAUGAUACCUGGAAUGGUUUUUUGCUCAAAGGACGCUUAGGGCAUGCUUCUAGGCGUUGCCCAAGGAUGGGGCCGCGGCCGAUCAGGUUGUUGGUGAGGUAACGGCUCACCAAGCCUUUAACCGGUGCGGGCCGUGGGAGCGGAAGCCCGGAGAUGGGCACUGAGACAAGGGCCCAGGCCCUACGGGGCGCAGCAGUCGCGAAAAUUUCGCAAUAAGCGAAAGCUUGACGGAGCUAUCCCGAGUGCCAUCCGCUGAGGAUGGCUUUUCCCUAGUAUAGAUAGCUGGGGGAAUAAGGAGAGGGCAAGUCUGGUGUCAGCCGCCGCGGUAAUACCAGCUCUCCGAGUGGUGGGGAUGAUUAUUGGGCCUAAAGCAUCCGUAGCCGGCUGGGCAAGUCCCCUGUUAAACCCAACGAUUUAAUCGUUGGUCUGCGGGGGAUACUGCUUGGCUAGGGGGCGAGAGAGGCCGUCGGUAUUCCCGGAGUAGGGGUGAAAUCCUAUAAUCCCGGGAGGACCACCAGUGGCGAAGGCUGUCGGCUAGAACGCGCCCGACGGUGAGGGAUGAAAGCUGGGGGAGCGAACCGGAUUAGAUACCCGGGUAGUCCCAGCUGUAAACGAUGCAGGCUAGGUGUUAGGGCGGCCACGUGCCGCUCUAGUGCCGCAGGGAAGCUGUUAAGCCUGCCGCCUGGGGAUAACGGCUGGCAGGCUGAACUUAAAGGCCA